UGUCCUGUAUGAGACAAUGAGGACUCCUUAAGAGAAAAGUUGCAAACCACAAGGAAAAAUCCUGUAGGUGGGAGAUGAGAGGGCGGGCGAUAUGCACUGGGUGGCAAUCCAUUUGAACAGCAUCGAAAGAUGAUGUGAGAAAGCCCUUCAUGCAAUGCUGCAAGCAAAAAAUGCCACAUGUACAUUUUUAAACACCUUCAGCAGACAAAUACAGCCAAUGCAUUGAGCUAAGUAGGCUCCAGCAAGUGAGCCAUAACAGUCUGCAUUGUUUCUGUGCUUGGGGAGGGGGGGAUGUGAGUGGAUUCAGAGCUGCAUGGUUGCCCUAUACUGUAAUGUACCCUACCCAGUACUGUAGCCUUUUGUGUAAAAGGAUGAGCUAAACAGUUGUUUUGCAAAGGGGGGGCCCGUUUGCACCACAGCAGCAAGUCAGAGCAGCUCCCAGGCAGCCGUGGUGGCGGUGGGCUGAGGGUGCAUUGAUGGAGGGAUGCUGUAACAGAUAGCCUCUGCUUCUGAGCUUUCAGCCUCAACCCUAUCACAUGCACACAUCUUACAGAAACUUGAAAAGCUUGACACAGAGAGAGGCGAGGGAGUGAGGCAGCACUGUCUGAGCAUAGCAUGAUGCACUGCUGCUUGUUCCAGGGAAGGGUGUGGCUGCUCUGUACAGCUGUCACCAAGAUCCUGUUCUUUACUGAAAAGAGCAACCCUGAGGUCUGGAAAAAAACCCAUCUCUAAUGCACCCCUUCAUUUUCCAAAAAGCAGGAUCCUGGUGACUUGGCGGAGUGGCUAAAUUCUGAUUGAGAAGAGGCUACCAAAAACUCACAGGCAAAACCAAUUGUUGAGAUAAACAUGGGGAAAACCCUACAAAACCAAAACAAAGAACAAUUGCUUCAAGCCUCCCAAAUUUCUAUUUAAUUCAGAAAACAAAUUAACUCUAACCUCCUAUCUGCGGUGCCUCUGCAGGGAAACCACAGUGGGAGGAGUCCCAGUUUACACACAAUCUGGAGAGAGGGAGGAAAUCCAACAAGUAAACGGGAGGAGAAGAAAACAUGCUUGAACAAUGUGCUGCACACUGGUGGGACUGUCCCUGACACCAUAGUGAUGGACGUGAUCUAGUAACAGAGACAGAUGACCCAGUGGCUGAAUGACUGAUCAUCUCCAUCGGAACACAGCAGGGAAACUUCAGGCAAUGUGUCUGUAAAGCACCGAGCACCUUCCACUCUUCCCGACCCCGCCAAUUUCCUCUGCACAAACCAUCCAUAUGGAUUUGACAUGUGGCCUCUGAGAGACCCUGCGUUGUACCUCCCAGUAAGUCAAAGCAUAUGGGGUGGAGGAGCCACGUUCCUACCUAAGCUUCUGCAAGUCCCUAAGGGUCAAGUUAAGUGCAAGCCUGAUCCUGUUGUCUGGACCAGGCUUGCCCAGUUCAUGCUUUAAGCUGCCCAGCCUCAGCAGGCUGGGUUUCCUCUCAGCUGCAGAGCUCAAAGGAGGUGGCCCCUGUCUCGCUCCAUGUGGUCCUGGGCAGCUCAGCAUCCUCACCAGAUUGGGGGCACAUCUUCAUGGCUGGCUCAUCCUCACCUGCCUGAGGGGCUUCAAGCCUUGGGGCUGGGGAAGGAGGUUGAGAAACAAGAGGGCUGCGGGACUUGAAGACUUCUCUGGAGCCAUGUAGCCCUUUCAGCAUUUCCAUGAGUUUGUUUUUCCUCUCAGACCCAGGGGCUUAUCAGCACUUCCCUGCCUCACAGGGAUGCUGGGAUGAGUAAAUCCAUUAUAAGCUGUGCAGUGCUGAGACACCAAGUCUACAGACACACAAAUUAAUAAGAGAGGCCAAGGAAUGUUUUCCACCCCCAAGACCCAUUGGCAUGCCCAGCCAUCCCCAAAGGGAUGUGGUCCUGUCCCCCCAGAGCAGGAGAGCUGUGCCCAAACCACCUGCUGAGAACCAGACUAGCUCCUGAAAUAUGCCUGGGCAUUGGCAGCAAACUCAUGCAAGGGCAAUGCCAACCAUUUAAUUGCAUGGGCAACUGCCUGGGCCUGUGCCUUGCCUCUACUUUAUUAAUUUAUUAGUACCUUGCUGCUAGCUUACACUCGCACAGACAGAGAGCUUGCCAUUAGCAAGGGCAAUAAAGUGCCUGUGAGAGAAAAGUCCAAAGUGUUUUACUGCUUUCAAAAUAAAAAGGUGCUUUCUCCUCUGGGGUUCCAUCUCUUUUGUCCUGGUCACUGUGGAGCUGGGUUUGGUUGAUUC
This is a long non-coding RNA of Corapipo altera (White-ruffed manakin), 2233 nucleotides long. RefSeq lists it as uncharacterized. The transcript has 6 exons. Lineage: Eukaryota; Metazoa; Chordata; Aves; Passeriformes; Pipridae. The record is from RefSeq and is a predicted model, not a curated record.